GACGAACGCUGGCGGCGCGCCUAACACAUGCAAGUCGAACGAGCGAGAGAGAGCUUGCUUUCUUGAGCGAGUGGCGAACGGGUGAGUAACGCGUGAGGAACCUGCCUCAAAGAGGGGGACAACAGUUGGAAACGACUGCUAAUACCGCAUAAGCCCACGGUGCCGCAUGGCACAGAGGGAAAAGGAGCAAUCCGCUUUGAGAUGGCCUCGCGUCCGAUUAGCUAGUUGGUGAGGUAACGGCCCACCAAGGCGACGAUCGGUAGCCGGACUGAGAGGUUGAACGGCCACAUUGGGGCUGAGACACGGCCCAGACUCCUACGGGAGGCAGCAGUGGGGAAUAUUGCACAAUGGGGGAAACCCUGAUGCAGCGACGCCGCGUGGAGGAAGAAGGUCUUCGGAUUGUAAACUCCUGUUGUUGGGGAAGAUAAUGACGGUACCCAACAAGGAAGUGACGGCUAACUACGUG
RNAcentral lists this ribosomal RNA (466 nucleotides) under uncultured bacterium. Its description in RNAcentral is "partial 16S ribosomal RNA". It matches the Rfam family "Bacterial small subunit ribosomal RNA", at positions 28 to 507 of the family's 1533-position model. The record is from RNAcentral.